UCGGUCGACUGCCGCAGGAGUCGGAGCGUGAGGAGGCUUUUACGGCUGCCGCGUGCCGGAAAGUGCGUGAGUGCUGGGCCCGAGCGUUUUAUUCUGUUUUCCGAAUCCUGAGGUCUGGAGGCGGUGAAAGUAGCUGGGACGAAUCUUUCUGUGCGGUUUCGAGAAGGAAGGGGGCCGCCGGCUACGCGACUGGGUCGAGUGACUGACACCGGCUCGGCUGCCUGGGCCGCCACCGCUUAGACCAGCGUGGGGCGGGGCUCGAUUGGCAGUUUAGAAAAAGAGGUACAUUAAAUGUAAAAGUGAAUACUUUCCAUGAUACGUGCAAAUGGCCAGUUCUUUAAGAGGAGAAGUACUGAAUCUUUAUAAAAAUCAAUGCAGAGAGAGAAUUGGAAGCCAGUAAUUAAAAAGAAGAGAUUACUACCCACCACCAAGAAUUCAGUAUCAGGACCUCGGAGGCUAAGAUAAUUAACAACACUGAAAGAUAGUUAUUCCAGAGUGACUUUUUUCAUUUCUCAUUUUUACUAAUAGGAAAUUUAAAUUAGAUUUUAAAGAAUCAGUUAUUUACCAUAUUUUCUCAGACUUAAUUACUUAUUUCUUGAUAAUAUGCUUUAAAGCAUUAUUUAACAUUAUUGAUCAUUGUAUAUACCUUAAACCACUGGCACAGAACACUGGUUUCAUAUUCCAAAAUUUGUAGGUAAUUUUAAAAGAUUAAGUACAGCCGAAACAUGUUUAAUACCUACUGUGGCUAGCUGCUAAGGUCUUAACUGGCACGCAAUGAUUUAUUCUUGGGCAUACAGCUUGUUGCCAUAUAUACUCAUUUUCAGAUGUCACUUAUUAAACUUUAAGAACAACUGAAACAAAAGUACAUGUAAAAACAACAGUGCAUGUGUUUAUAUAUGUAAAUUUUAAAAUAAGUUUGUAAAGAUACAUUUGUAACUUUUUUUAAAUCAGGAGCUCAGCCAUUAUGUGAAAAUGUACUGUGAGACUAUGGAAAUAGAGCACUUCAAUACAGGAGAAAGAACUGUUAACAGCAUCAUUCUGUAUCCCGGUGCCUAUAAUGCUUUCACUACGCGAUUUAAUUUUAAACAAGUACUUGUUCUAGUUGAAUAGUUUAUUAUGUGCAAAAGCUCUUUCAAUGAAAUAAAUAACACCUCAAAUACCCUAACUAUAGGCAGAUGCAAGAAUACUAAAUACUAGCCCUUCUUGGGGGAGAGGAACGGGACGAACAAGAUGUAUUCUAAAAAGCAACUUUGCAUCACUGAAUUGGAAAGAAACCUUGCCAAACAACAGCCCACCUCAGGAACUACUGAAAUGCAUCAAUACUACUACUUGGGAGGCUAUACUAUGCAUUGGUGCACAGCAGGUGCUCAGUACUUGCUUUGUCUAGUUUUAACUCAUAAAAAGCAAAGUUCAAAUUACUGAUCUUAUGUACAGAAACCCAACUAUUAUUAAACAGAGAAAUAAGGCACAAAGUUUUUUUGUUUGGUUUGCUUUGUUAAAAUAAUUUGAUGAUAAGCUUUCUUUAAUGGAGGUCUUCUAACAACUAAAUUUAAGUAUCUAGAAAUUAACAACAAAACCCGGAAAAUUAAAUACUCAACAUUUUUAAGUUCGUAAAACAAAUUUUCACAUUAUGCUCAAAUUGAGACCUCCAGAAAGCAAAAAAGCUGAAUCAGGAGUAGCAGAUACUCAGAGAAUUCUGCUUUUGUCAUCUGCUUUACUGAAUGAUCCCCACUUUUGAUUUUAGCAGACUGGAAAACACACAGCUGAUUACCACGGUGUCAACGUUUUGGUUUCAACAGCCUUUGCAAACACAGCCAUACACUGCCCAAAGAGGCCAGAAAAAUAUGUCAAUUACUAACUGCCCAGAUAGAUGUGACCUAGGUAGCAGCCUUUAUACACUAGGAACACAGGGACCACAUACAGCAUACUUGCAGAAAAUAAAAACUACUUUGGCCUUUCAGAUGUGGACUAAAAUGAUAGUUAAAAAUAUAAUACAGGGCUUCCCUGGUGGCGUAGUGGUUGGGAGUCCGCCUGCCGAUGCAGGGGACGUGGGUUCAUGCCCCGGUCCAGGAAGAUCCCACAUGCCGCGGAGCGGCUGGGCCCGUGAGCCAUGGCCGCUGAGCCUGCACGUCCGCAAUGGGAGAGGCCACGACAGUAAGAGGCCCGCAUACCGCAAAAAAAAAAAAAAAAAAAUAUAUAUAUAUAUAUAUAUAUAAAA
RNA transcript from Orcinus orca (killer whale), 2218 nucleotides. It is a transcript of the gene named electron transfer flavoprotein regulatory factor 1, with no coding region annotated. Lineage: Eukaryota; Metazoa; Chordata; Mammalia; Artiodactyla; Delphinidae. The record is from RefSeq and is a predicted model, not a curated record. The transcript is spliced from 4 exons.